RNAcentral lists this ribosomal RNA (403 nucleotides) under Verrucomicrobiota bacterium. RNAcentral describes it as "Verrucomicrobia bacterium partial 16S ribosomal RNA". It matches the Rfam family "Bacterial small subunit ribosomal RNA", at positions 355 to 776 of the family's 1533-position model. The record is from RNAcentral. Lineage: Bacteria; Pseudomonadati; Verrucomicrobiota.
UGGGGAAUAUUGCACAAUGGGCGCAAGCCUGAUGCAGCAACGCCGCGUGAACGAUGAAGGUCUUCGGAUCGUAAAGUUCUGUUGCAGGGGAAGAUAAUGACGGUACCCUGUGAGGAAGCCCCGGCUAACUACGUGCCAGCAGCCGCGGUAAUACGUAGGGGGCUAGCGUUAUCCGGAUUUACUGGGCGUAAAGGGUGCGUAGGUGGUCUUUCAAGUCGGUGGUUAAAGGCUACGGCUCAACCGUAGUUAGCCUCCGAAACUGGAAGACUUGAGUGCAGGAGAGGAAAGUGGAAGUCCCAGUGUAGCGGUGAAAUGCGUAGAUAUUGGGAGGAACACCAGUAGCGAAGGCGGCUUUCUGGACUGCAACUGACACUGAGGCACGAAAGCGUGGGUAGCAAACAGG